CCUCCUUUCUAAGGAAAUCGAAAAUAUUAAAACAAUUAUUUUCGAUUUAAAAAAAACCGGUAAUGUGACCGUCCUCAUUUCUCUUCUUUUAAUGUCUCUAAGUAAAUCAAGGGGCCGGUAGCUCAGGUGGUUAGAGCGCACCCCUGAUAAGGGUGAGGUCGGAAGUUCGAAUCUUCCUCGGCCCGCCAAUAUUACGGGGGAUUAGCUCAGCUGGGAGAGCGCCUGAUUUGCAUUCAGGAGGUCAGCGGUUCGAUCCCGCUAUCCUCCACCAAAAUUUAGACAUUUAGCUUUUUUAAAUCGUAAAUAUUAUUAUUAUCAAUAUCUAUAUCCGAUUGUUUUCGAAUAUUUUUUUGAAAACAAUCAAAACAAAAAUUUAAUUUAUUACAGAAAAAAUUUUUUUCUGUGCAUAAAUCAAGCGUUUAAGGGCGAUUGGCGGAUGCCUUGGCACUGUAAGACGAUGAAGGACGUGGUAUACUGCGAUAAGUUUCGGGGAGCCGUAUGCAGGCUUUGAUCCGAAAAUUCCG
This 524-nucleotide unclassified non-coding RNA is filed under the name uncultured Pelagibacterales bacterium. RNAcentral's name for it is "partial 16S-23S ribosomal RNA intergenic spacer". The stretch from base 410 to 524 matches the Rfam family "Bacterial large subunit ribosomal RNA", at positions 1 to 116 of the family's 2925-position model. The record is from RNAcentral. Lineage: Bacteria; Pseudomonadati; Pseudomonadota; Alphaproteobacteria; Candidatus Pelagibacterales.